AGAACUUACCACCUUUGACAUGCCGGACCGCCAGAGAGAUCUGGUUUUCCCUUCGGGGACUGGGACACAGGUGCUGCAUGGCUGUCGUCAGCUCGUGUCGUGAGACGUUGGGUUAAGUCCCGCAACGAGCGCAACCCUUGUCCUUAGUUGCCAGCACGUAAUGGUGGGAACUCUAGGGAGACUGCCGGUGACAAACCGGAGGAAGGUGGGGAUGACGUCAAGUCAUCAUGGCCCUUACGGCCAGGGCUACACACGUACUACAAUGGUCGGGACAGAGGGCAGCGAGACCGCGAGGUGGAGCCAAUCCCAGAAACCCGAUCCCAGUCCGGAUUGCAGUCUGCAACUCGACUGCAUGAAGUCGGAAUCGCUAGUAAUCGCAGAUCAGCAUUGCUGCGGUGAAUACGUUCCCGGGCCUUGUACACACCGCCCGUCACACCAUGGGAGUUGGUUGCUCCAGAAGCAGGUAGUCUAACCGCAAGGGGGACGCUUGCCACGGAGUGGUCAAUGACUGGGGUGAAGUCGUAACAAGGUAACCGUAA
Molecule: ribosomal RNA, 539 nt
Filed under: uncultured bacterium
Lineage: Bacteria
Description: bacterial SSU rRNA
Rfam family: Bacterial small subunit ribosomal RNA
Source: RNAcentral